AGGGGUGGGGACGUGAAAAAAGAACGGGACGGGGAACAGGGAAGGGGAGCGGGGGAGUAUCACAAGAGUAAAAAGAGGAAAAGGGGGGGGGGACUGGUGAGAAAGAUAAUAAUAAGUCCGGGCCUGGGGGAGUUUUAUGAUACUCUCAAGGUAAAAGAGGGGUUUUAGCGAUCUGCGCGGGUGUUAAUCUGAACGGGGGGUAAUGCCCGCGAAUUUAGCUUCAGGUCGGGGACAACCACUGGAAACGGUGGCUAAUACCGGAUGUGCCGAAAGGGUGAAAGAUUUAUUGCCUGAAGAUGAGCUCGCGUCUGAUUAGUUAGUUGGUGUGGUAAGAGCGCACCAAGGCGACGAUCAGUAGCUGGUCUGAGAGGAUGAUCAGCCACACUGGGACUGAGACACGGCCCAGACUCCUACGGGAGGCAGCAGUGGGGAAUUUUCCGCAAUGGGCGAAAGCCUGACGGAGCAAUACCGCGUGAGGGAGGAAGGCUCUUGGGUUGUAAACCUCUUUUCUCAGGGAAUAAAAAAAUGAAGGUACCUGAGGAAUAAGCAUCGGCUAACUCCGUGCCAGCAGCCGCGGUAAUACGGAGGAUGCAAGCGUUAUCCGGAAUGAUUGGGCGUAAAGCGUCCCCAGCUGGCACUGUAAGUCUGUUUUUAAAGAGCAAUGGCUCAACCCUGUAAAGGCAGUGGAAACUCCAAAGCUAGAGUACGUUCGGGCCAGAGGGAAUUCUUGGAGUAGCGGUUAAAUCCCUAGAGAUCAGGACGAACACACGGUGGCGGGAGACACUGGGAUGAGACCCCACUGUAUUUGGAGCGGGAGGCGGCCCCCUCCC
RNAcentral lists this ribosomal RNA (830 nucleotides) under Nostoc sp. LCR21. RNAcentral describes it as "bacterial SSU rRNA". The stretch from base 133 to 830 matches the Rfam family "Bacterial small subunit ribosomal RNA", at positions 1 to 730 of the family's 1533-position model. The record is from RNAcentral. Lineage: Bacteria; Bacillati; Cyanobacteriota; Cyanophyceae; Nostocales; Nostocaceae.